GAUUAGAGAGGAAAUGAUUAAAGUAAACAUAAAGUUUUCUUGUGUAAAAAUAUACAGUGUAAAAUAUAGGGUUAAGUGAUAAGUAUUUAUCUUCCAAUUAUUUGCAUUAACAUAUGAACAUAAAGAGCUUGUGGUUCUAAACUUUUCCUACACAUUUAAGACAUUAAAAACCCUAAUGAAAAUUCUCCUAGUGAACUAGCGGAUAAGGAUUUAGUGUUGUCACUGCUGUGGCUUGGGUUUGAUCCCUGGCCUGGAACUUCCGCAUGUGAUUGGCAUGGCCAAAAAAAAAGUCUAAUGAAUUUUUUAACAAAAAUAUAAAAGUAUUUCUCUUCCAACUGCUUGCAUUCAUAUACAAACAUAAAAUGUUUAUGGUUUUAAACUUUACUACAAGUUUGUCAUUAAAAAGCGAAGUAAUUUUCUAACAAAAUAUGAAAAGUAUAGUAGCAUAGCAACUGUUUAAGAAUUUUUGUACAGCUUAUUAUUCAAUUAUCACUAAAUUAAAAUAUCUAAGAAAUAUUAAAUAGUAGAACUUUAUUUUUCAGUGGAGAGUGUGAUUAAGAUAAAAUUGCUCAGAAUUUGUUUGCAAUAUAAGAUCCACAUAAAUGAAUUUUCUGAAUACUAAAUAAAGGGACUCUUUGCCUGAAAUUUACCCUUUUUAUUUAUGGAUAUUGUAUAGAAAGUAUAUUUAUUUAUUAUAAUGAUCCUUUCAUAUGUAAUAUUUUAUGUAGGUCUAUCUUUUACUAAAAAUAUCAAAAUAUAUCAACAAUUAAAAUCAUAAAAUUGGGAGUAGGUUAUCCCAUCAAUGAUUUCUUGUUAUAGGAACACAUAGUAAGAUGAUAGUAGUCAAAAAGUCAAAGAAAGCCAAAAAUAAACUGAGCAUGAAUUGUAAUAGUACAUUUGCUUUUCUCAGUGAACUGUUUCAAUCAAACUAGAAUAUAUAUUAAUAACAGUGCUUCAUUUUUAGUAGCUUUUACAUAGACAUCUUAUCAAUCACUGUGAUUUAUUUGCAUUUGGAUAUUUAAUUCAGAAAUUUUAUAUACAACUAAUGCCUUUUUGCCAGUGAGAAUUUUCCUUUUCCAUUAAUACUGCUAAUUUAAUGUGUGAAAACUGCUAACAGCUUUAAAGCCCACCCAUCACUUUCUCUCUCUUGCCCCACAUUUGAACAAGCUAAUAAGUUCAAGCCACACAAGCCAUGGCCAGUGGAAACACUGCCUAUUCACAAUAAAAGCCAAAGCCAGUGGUCCUCUUGUGUCUCUCCAAUCACUCUUAGACUUUCUUGCAUGCUACUCAGGUCUCUCUGGAAAAUUUCAUUGUAUGAGUCAUAGAGACUUUUCUUACCCUUAUGUGUUAAGUAUAUUGUCAUCAUUGAAUGGGGGUCCACUGCACAUCAAUGAGUGAUCACAAAACAAGUUCUUAGGAGUUUCCAUUGUGGCUCAGUGUGUUUAAGAACCCAACUAGUAUCAAUGAGGAUUCAGGUUUGAUCCAUGGCUUCACUCAGUGGGUUAAAGAUCUUGCAUUGCUGCAAGCUGCAGAUACAUCUUGCAUCCCGUGUUGCCCGCGUUGCUGUGGCUGUAGACUGCCAAAUUCAACCCCUAGUCUGGGAACUUCCAUAUGCCACAGGUGUGGACCUAAAAAAUAGUAAUAAUAAAAUAAAAUAAAAUACUACUUCUUGAUGUUCCCCUUGUGGUUCAGCAGGUUAAGAAUCUGACUCAGAGUUCCUGUCAUCGUUCAAUGGUUAACAAACCCGAUUAGUAUACAUCAGAAUGCGGGUUCAAUCCUGGCCUUGCUCAAUGGGUUAAGGAUCCAGAGUUGUGGUGAACUGUGGUGUAGGUCGCAGAUGCAGCUCAGAUCCCGCAUUGCUGUGGCCGUGGUAUAGGCCUACAACUACAGCUCUGAUUUGACCUGGGAACCUCUAUAUGUAACAAAUGCGGCCCUAAGAAGACAAAAAAGACCAAAAAAAAAAAAAAAAAAAAAAAAAAAAGUCGGACUAGUAUCCACGAGCAUGCUGGUUCAGUCCCUGCCCUCGCUCAGUUUAUUAAGGAUCUAGUGUUGCCUCAAGCUGCACUGUAGGUCACAGAUGCAGCUCAGAUCCCACAGUGCUCUGGCUGUGAGGUAGGCUGGAAGCUGCAUCUCUGAUUUGACCCCCUAGCCAGCAACUUCCAUGUGCUGCAGGUGUGGCUCUAAUAAAAAUAAAUAAAUAAGUAAAUAAAAUAGUACUUCUUUCAUCAAAGUUAGAUCAUACUUUAUCUAUUGUAGGAAAAAAAUGCCUUAUAAAAAUAUGCCAAUAAUAGCUGACCUACUUCUAAGCAAGCAUUAUGGCCCUGGAUCUGUCUGUAUCCAUUAAGGGCUGUAAAGUAGAAAUAAUAGUGUCAAGUAUAUCGAUCUGUUUCCAAGCCAUAUUGUAAUGAAAAAUGUUUCCAUAUAAAUAAAAUGUAAUAUAAUAGUUAAAACCUAUUCUAUCAAAGGAAAAAUAAAAGUGAAUAAACAGAAUAGCUUUCUACUGUUAGUCUUGCUAAAAUCUGGUAUUUUUGGUAAGAAACAAUCUUAAUGUCUCAGUAUUAGGGUGAAGGUAUGUUUCAUGGUUUAUAAUAGGAAAAUUUUAAUAGUGAAUGGGAGCAUUAACUGUUAUGCCAAGAUUACAUGUAUAAAUUAGGACUGUUUAUGACAAACUGUAACAUGUAUUCAACUGAUAUGAAGUAAGAGGAAUUAGAAAAAGACCAGUUGAUCUGCAGCUAGAUUAAACAUACAACUUGGAAUUAUAAAACUUCUAGAAAGAAAAAAAUUAAAAAAAAUAAAUGUUUAUCAGUUCCUGUUGUGGCUCAGUGGUUAAUGAAUCUGACUAGGAACCAUGAGGUUGUGGGUUCCAUCCCUGGCCUCACUCAGUGGGUUAAGGAUCCGACGUUGCCAUGAGCUCCGUGUCUGCGACCUACACCACAGUUCACUGCAACACCAGAUCCUUAACCCACUGAGCAAGGCCAGGGAUUGAACCUGAAACCUCAUGGUUCCUAGUUGGAUUUGUUUCCGCUGCACCACAAUGGUACCUCCCUAGAUCUAUCCACCUUUUUAGGAAAAAGAAAUGUCUUCCUGGUGGUAGAUGACUGGUGCACAGGUGAGCCUCUAAUUCAACUGGGCCAGCAGAAUUGUUUCCCUCAAAGUAAGGAUUAAGGAUUAGGGACAAGUGUAAAAUCUGGCUCUCACCAGAAAGUAUUCAAAUUAAGUCACUCUAGCAAAAAAGCUGACAUGCAAAGAGGUAAAGCAAUAAAAGAAGAAUUGAAAGAAGCAUCUUGUGUACUUCUCGUUCUUGAUAUCUUUCUCCUCAGCUGCACAGGUAUCUUUACUCUUCUUAUAAAUUGAAUGUGCAAGCCUUCCAUGAAACAAAGAACCCCUCUUUAUGUUAACAUAGUUCAUAUUCAGUUUCUAUAACUGGCAAUCAGAUUAUUCAACAAUAAGAGGCAACAAGGACCUACUGAAUAACACAGGGAACUUUACUCAAUAUUCUGUAUAAGCUAUAUGGAAAAUAAUUUGAAAAAGAAUGGAUCAAGGUAUAUGUAUAACUGAAUCACUGUGCUGAAUACCUGGAGCUAACACAACAUUGUAAAUCAGCUGUACGCCAGUAUAAAAAUAGAAAUACUAAUAAUGUACUGAAACCCAGAUCUGCUCAAUUCCAAACUUCUUCUAGAGAUGCAAGACUAGAGGUGCAAAAUCAGUUAGCAAGCCAUUCCAACAUUGCAUAUAAGGAAUAAUAUAGGUGUGAUGCAUAGGAGUAGGAAUACGAAUGAAGAGAAGUUGACAGAUCCAAACUGUUAUAACUUUGACAGGACUUUGUGGCUGCUUGGCUGAAGGUGAGGGUGAUAGAAAAUAAAAGGAAUCAACAAUAUGUCUUUUGGAUGGCUAUCUGGCAAGAAGUAGUGUCAUACGCUGAUAUGUGGUUGUUAGAUUGUUUUCUUCUUUUCUUAUAAAAAAAAAAUCAAAUUGCACACAAAGGCCUUACAGACCUACAGAUACCACCAGAUUUCUUCCACCUCCCCCACCCCCUAAUCAAUGCCCCUAUUCACAGGAAGAACCUACAAAAAAAACAUACAUUCACCCAUUUUCCUAUUAAAAACAAGGAGCAAUCUUAGGUGGAAAAUGAAGCAAGGCCUAAAAGGACAAAAAAAAAAAAAAAAAAAAAAUCAGCAUUACCCAGCUAAAGCCAUACUUACAGACUCCUUCUUAUCAAAUAGGCCUCUGUAAUGGAUUAAGUUCCUUAAAAUAAAGAUAGCCCCAAGGCCACAGACUACAUGGCUCAACAAUGACCCUUGCCUAUAAAAAACCAAGCACUCCCAUGCAGGGGGAGCCCGAGUCUUGCUUGCUCCCAGCUCCCAACCACUCUGCUGGUCAAUAAACUCUGCUUGCAAUCUCAUUGCUCCAGACUCUGCCUCCUCCUUCCCCAUUGUUCUAACUGUAAUCUAAGAAGAAAUAGACUUGGAGGAAUUACCAAAAAAAUUAGUUCAAUUUUGAGCAUACUCAUCCUAGGGCAGCCAUACUAGGAUUCGAUUUUGGGAAAAAGCAAAACCACACACAGUUCUAGACCACUGUCAGUUGGAAAAAGAAUUUACUACAUAGAUUGCAAGGAUAAGUGGUAGGUGGAAGUUAGUUUCAUGACCUAGCAGUGGACUCACAUUCUAUGAUAGACUUCAAAGCUGUUUGUAAUUCUUUGAACACUCCAGGUUUAUGAUUUGAAAAUGUUCACUUCAUUUGACCCUGUCUGGAAUGACACUGAUCGUCUUGAUCAGCUGGUAAACUAGAGGAAGCUUGAACAUAACCUCACCUGUUAAUAUUUCUGGAGCCUUUGCUGAGUGGAUCCUCCAUUUCCCCUUUAGCUCCUGCAAUACGUGGUGCAUUUGAUUACUCAGGUUUCAACUAAAACCUGGAAUCUUUAAGAGAAGAAUGGGGACAUACUCAUCUUUAUAAGUCCGUCCAAACUUUGGAACACAGAAGUCUAUCAAUAAAUGCUGAAAAUAUAAAUUCCAGUUUUUAAUCUAGAUCAAAGAUUCGAUGUAUAACUCAAACACUAGGUCCUAGUAAAACGAAGUAGUUAGCAUCAGAACAGGCCUGGAAUUGUGCAUCAAUAUACUAUAACUUGCUGUAAAAUACUCCUUAAGUAAACUAUAAAUUAGCUGUCAAGAUUUAUUUUAUUCUGCACUUAUAAUUCUGUUUCUUUAUAAUAUUCCACAUUAAAGACAUCCUCUAGGUACAGUUAAGGAGAAGAUCCGCAACGCUCAGGCAAAGCAGCCAAGAAAGCAUAUUAUAUGAAUCUGAAGGAAAAAAAAUUUAGUUUCCUUCUAAGUAUGUAUGACCUUACAGGUUCAGCAAACAGGUCUUUUUACUUAUCCUGAUAAUAGCCCCAUGAAUUUAACUUAAUCCAAAUUUAAAUUAUUUUCUUAAAUCCUGGAAGUGAUUUUAAAUAUUUCUUUUAUGCUACAAGUAUAGAAAAUGAGGUCAGAAAUACUGAGUCCUGCCAAAACCACAUAGUAAAUAGAUUUAGAUGAGAGUAAGUACCAAGAUGAAUGACUUUCAUUGGAUUCAGUAUGCAUUUUAAAUAUAUAACAAUUGUUCUAUAUCUUUAAUAAAGUAAAUGUAAAUUAUGUGCAAGAUAGUUCCUAUAAGUGCUUAAUAACUGAAUAGUAAUAGUACUGAUAAGGUAUUUAUUGAGCAAUUGCCAUGUGGCAGAUGGUGAACAUAUACUUAGUCUUUUCUGAAGUUUUAUGAUAGCUAUAGGUAGAAAUAUGCAGUUUUACAAAUAGAUACUGUCAGGGGCUCUUUUUUGAGUGCUGAUUAAAAACAAAAAAAUCUCUGAAGCUAGUUUCUUGAUAGAACCUUAACAUUGUAUUACAUAACAUAUGGUAUAAUUUCUAAGUUCCUGAUUUUAUUUAUUGGAAAAGAGAAUAGAUGAAAGCUUAUUUAAUUUCUGGUUGGGGUCAGAAAGAUACACAUGUGGGAAAUCUGUCUCCCCAUGAGAUCUGGAGUUUUAGUACCAUUUUUACUUUUGCUUUUUCAGCCAGCAUGACCUCUGAGCACAGGGAUCACAGGGCGAUUGGCAGGGAUCGUCAGUGGAAAGCAAUUAAGUAAGGUUGAGCCAAAUGACGGUCCGGAGGUCUUGCUAAUGUUUUUCUGUGUAAGUACAUGCUCUAUUGCUAAUUAUCAUAGUAGCAUUGCCUUACAGUUCACUGUGGAGUAAUUCCUCCUUCCUCUCUAGGAGGGGAUCAUUAUAGCAUCUGCCUUGCCUACACAUUUACUUAUGCAAAAAUGUGUGCUGUUUCAAGUUCAGGUUGCUCAAAUAGGAGAAAGUGAAGUCUCGAGUGUUACCCUCCUGCUGCUAUGGCAAGUAGUGUUCUCACUAUAGCUUGGUUGGGAUUUUUACACUCCUAACAGCAUGGGUUAAAUAACUCAGAGAAUAUAAAAUGGCUACAAAAUUUGCUUCAUCUAACAGAUACUU
This 6478-nucleotide long non-coding RNA is filed under the name Sus scrofa (pig). Its description in RNAcentral is "lncRNA (ENSSSCG00000047426.1)". The record is from RNAcentral. Lineage: Eukaryota; Metazoa; Chordata; Mammalia; Artiodactyla; Suidae.